This 417-nucleotide ribosomal RNA is filed under the name soil fungal sp. DM041. RNAcentral describes it as "eukaryotic LSU rRNA". It matches the Rfam family "Eukaryotic large subunit ribosomal RNA", at positions 188 to 628 of the family's 3401-position model. Lineage: Eukaryota; Fungi. The record is from RNAcentral.
CCCUGGAACGGGACGCCUUAGAGGGUGAGAGCCCCGUACGGUUGGACGCCUAGCCUCUGUAAAGCUCCUUCAACGAGUCGAGUAGUUUGGGAAUGCUGCUCAAAAUGGGAGGUAAAUUUCUUCUAAAGCUAAAUACCGGCCAGAGACCGAUAGCGCACAAGUAGAGUGAUCGAAAGAUGAAAAGCACUUUGAAAAGAGGGUUAAAUAGCACGUGAAAUUGUUGAAAGGGAAGCGUUUAUGACCAGACUUUUUCCUAGUGGAUCAUCCGGUGUUCUCACCGGUGCACUUCGCUAGGUUUAGGCCAGCAUCGGUUUCCGUAGGGNGAUAAAAGCUUUAGGAAUGUGGCUCUUCGGAGUGUUAUAGCCUAUUGUAUAAUACCCUUAUGGGGACCGAGGUACGCGCUCUGCAAGGAUGCUG